AGCAGCCGCGGUAAUUCCAGCUCCAAUAGCGUAUAUUAAAGUUGUUGCAGUUAAAAAGCUCGUAGUUGAAUUUCGGGACUAAUAUGUCGGUCGUACUUUGUACGUACUAGCAUUAUUGGUUUCUCCCUUCUGACGAACCACGAUGUCAUUAAUUUGGUGUCAUGGGAAAUCAGGACUGUUACUUUGAAAAAAUUAGAGUGUUUAAAGCAAGCUCGCGCUUGAAUACAUUAGCAUGGAAUAAUGAAAUAGGAUGUUUGAUUCUAUUUUGUUGGUUUCUAGGAUCGACGUAAUGAUUAAUAGGGAUAGUUGGGGGCAUUAGUAUUCAAUUGUCAGAGGUGAAAUUCUUGGAUUUAUUGAAGACUAACUACUGCGAAAGCAUUUGCCAAGGAUGUUUUCAUUAAUCAAGAACGAGAGUUAGGGGAUCGAAGACGAUCAGAUACCGUCGUAGUCUUAACCAUAAACUAUGCCGACUAGGGAUCGGAUGAUGUUAAUUUUUAAUGA
RNAcentral lists this ribosomal RNA (501 nucleotides) under uncultured Glomus. RNAcentral's name for it is "SSU rRNA". It matches the Rfam family "Eukaryotic small subunit ribosomal RNA", at positions 569 to 1074 of the family's 1831-position model. Lineage: Eukaryota; Fungi; Glomeromycota; Glomeromycetes; Glomerales; Glomeraceae. The record is from RNAcentral.